Ribosomal RNA from Cavia aperea (Brazilian guinea pig), 129 nucleotides. Lineage: Eukaryota; Metazoa; Chordata; Mammalia; Rodentia; Caviidae. The record is from Ensembl.
UGUUACGGCCAUACCACCCUGCGUGCAUCUGACUGCCUCUGCUCAUGGAAGCUAAGCAGGUCAGGCCUGGCUAAUCCUUGGAUGAGACACUAUCAUUUUCAAAACAGAAUCAUUGAGAUUCUGUCUCAA